AUCCCCUGGCAAUGGGCAAAGGGACCCCUUGGUGGUGGUGUUCUUACAUCAGUCAGGGAGAAGAGCAGAAGGCAGGCCUUUGUUCAUCCUACCUUGAUAUCUGGCAUGGUGCUCAAAUUUGUUUAUGCCUAGGACAUACAA
This is a small nucleolar RNA of Mastomys coucha (southern multimammate mouse), 141 nucleotides long. RefSeq annotates it as small nucleolar RNA SNORA48. The record is from RefSeq and is a predicted model, not a curated record. The transcript has a single exon. Lineage: Eukaryota; Metazoa; Chordata; Mammalia; Rodentia; Muridae.